This 373-nucleotide long non-coding RNA is filed under the name Manihot esculenta (cassava). RNAcentral's name for it is "long non-coding RNA (MESC_LNC000049)". The record is from RNAcentral. Lineage: Eukaryota; Viridiplantae; Streptophyta; Magnoliopsida; Malpighiales; Euphorbiaceae.
UAAAUUUAUAUAAUAAUAAUAUUAAUAACAUUCUUAAAAUUGAUAAAGUAACUUAUAAGAAAAAUAUUUAUAAGAAAAAUAUUUUUCGUUAAAAAAAAUUAAAAAAAAAAAGAUAAUUAUGAAUAAAUUAAUGACCUGCAUGCAUUGGACCCUGCCACCGUUGCUGGCGAGGGAGGUGAUAUCAGCGGAGGUUUUGGUGGUGGCUGGGAAGGCGGAGGUGGACUUGAGGCCGGUGAAUGGUGCCACCAUGCUGGCUUGAGCAGGGCUAGCUCUGUUAAUGCUAGCCACAGUUGCAGUUGAAAGCAUAGAGGUAGCCAUUUCAAAUUCCCCUUUCUUGCUUACAAGUAGACUUUUGUUGUUCAACCUCUUGCUU